RNAcentral lists this ribosomal RNA (301 nucleotides) under uncultured bacterium. Its description in RNAcentral is "partial 16S ribosomal RNA". It matches the Rfam family "Bacterial small subunit ribosomal RNA", at positions 509 to 808 of the family's 1533-position model. The record is from RNAcentral.
CAGUCGCCGCGGUAACACGUAGGUCCCGAGCGUUGUCCGGAUUUAUUGGGCGUAAAGCGAGCGCAGGCGGUUAGAUAAGUCUGAAGUUAAAGGCUGUGGCUUAACCAUAGUACGCUUUGGAAACUGUUUAACUUGAGUGCAGAAGGGGAGGGUGGAAUUCCAUGUGUAGCGGUGAAAUGCGUAGAUAUAUGGAGGAACACCGGUGGCGAAAGCGGCUCUCUGGUCUGUAACUGACGCUGAGGCUCGAAAGCGUGGGGAGCAAACAGGAUUAGAUACCCCCGUAGUCCCUGUCUCUUAUACA